UGGGGAAUAUUGCACAAUGGGCGAAAGCCUGAUGCAGCGACGCCGCGUGAGGGAUGACGGCCUUCGGGUUGUAAACCUCUUUCAGCAGGGACGAAGCGCAAGUGACGGUACCUGCAGAAGAAGCACCGGCUAACUACGUGCCAGCAGCCGCGGUAAUACGUAGGGUGCAAGCGUUGUCCGGAAUUACUGGGCGUAAAGAGUUCGUAGGCGGUUUGUCGCGUCGUUUGUGAAAACCAGCAGCUCAACUGCUGGCUUGCAGGCGAUACGGGCAGACUUGAGUACUGCAGGGGAGACUGGAAUUCCUGGUGUAGCGGUAAAAUGCGCAGAUAUCAGGAGGAACACCGGUGGCGAAGGCGGGUCUCUGGGCAGUAACUGACGCUGAGGAACGAAAGCGUGGGUAGCGAACAGG
RNAcentral lists this ribosomal RNA (409 nucleotides) under bacterium. RNAcentral describes it as "partial 16S ribosomal RNA". It matches the Rfam family "Bacterial small subunit ribosomal RNA", at positions 355 to 776 of the family's 1533-position model. The record is from RNAcentral.